GCCGCUGGGAGCGUGGGGCGAGCGUGGACCGCGGCGCGGCGGUGCGAUUCUUUUCCCGGCCCUUCUCCCCGCCCCAGGCGAGGGCACCGUGUGGCGGCGGCGGCGGGGCCAGCGAGGCCGGAGGCGGCGGCUGUGCCCGGGCAUGGUGGUCUGGGGCAACGCGGAAGCUGCCAAGCAGUAACAGCUGUCUUUGUACUGAAUCCCGGAAGUGUCUCUGUAUCCUGGAAGUAUUGCAAUGAUCGUCUUCACACCUGCGAAAUAUUCCUGCACCGUGUACGCCAAUGAUUAUGGCUCCGCUCUCGGGCCUCACCUGGGAGCUACUGCAUGUGAGGAUCAAAUUGAUACACAUUAGGGCAUCCUCAGCGGUCUUUGGCAAAGGCCUAUAGAUUACCUCGCUAUCCAAUUUGUUAACUGGACAGCAGAGCCUGAGUGGAAAGAACAAUGCGCUCGUCAGUUGGGAGAAGCUCCUCCAGGUAUCAACAGAUACAAGCAAGGCAAUCUCACUGUGCAGGUUGAUUAGAACUGGGUUUGUAUUUUGGACAAUAAACUCUACUUACGAUAGUCUCCCAGUCAUUAAGUAUCUCUGCUGUAAGAGAAAACUGGGGCUAUUAACUUCUCCAGAUAGAACCCGAGGGAAAAGUGAUCAUUUCUUUUCUAAGCAGAAGGGAAGGUUCUGCUCAAUAAAGAUCAAUUAAACAUC
Molecule: long non-coding RNA, 700 nt
Organism: Balaenoptera acutorostrata (minke whale)
Lineage: Eukaryota; Metazoa; Chordata; Mammalia; Artiodactyla; Balaenopteridae
Exons: 2
Source: RefSeq, a predicted model, not a curated record